This is a long non-coding RNA of Gossypium raimondii (Peruvian cotton), 326 nucleotides long. RefSeq lists it as uncharacterized. The record is from RefSeq and is a predicted model, not a curated record. The transcript is spliced from 2 exons. Lineage: Eukaryota; Viridiplantae; Streptophyta; Magnoliopsida; Malvales; Malvaceae.
UAUAAGGAGAGACAGCUUCAUCCUUUAUAACAAAUCUCACCCACCGAAAAGAAAAGGAUGGAUAUUGCAACACACAAUGGGGGAGCUUAGUAGAUAAAUUUUUUGCAAUCUAAUCCUUCCUAGAUAUACUACGGUCCUCCCAAAAAUAUAAAUUUGGCAAGGGCAUUGGCUAAUCCAAAUGUGGAACAUCCACAUGGAACAUCAGGACAUGACAACCAUGGAAUGAGUGUUCUUCAGUAACAUGUUUCUUUUUUUAUCAAGAUAAAGAUGUGAUUGUUUAUCCUUGGGAAACCUACACAAGUUUUUUUUAUCAACAAUUUAUUUUA